Molecule: ribosomal RNA, 484 nt
Filed under: uncultured bacterium
Lineage: Bacteria
Description: bacterial SSU rRNA
Rfam family: Bacterial small subunit ribosomal RNA
Source: RNAcentral
GAUCCUGGCUUAGGACGAACGCUGGCGGCGUGCUUCAUACAUGCAAGUCGAACGAGAAGCUGACUUCGGUCAGUGGAAAGUGGCGGACGGGUGAGUAAUAUGUAGAGAAUCUGCCCUUGAGUGGGGGACAACAGAGGGAAACUUCUGCUAAUACCCCAUAUGAGCUAACUUGAAAUAGCUAUCUUGAAAACUCCGGUGCUCAAGGAUGAGUCUGCAUCUGAUUAGCUAGUUGGCGGUGUAAUGGACCACCAAGGCGACGAUCAGUAGCUGGUUUGAGAGGAUGAUCAGCCACAAUGGGACUGAGACACGGCCCAUACUCCUACGGGAGGCAGCAGUAGGGAAUUUUGCGCAAUGGGCGAAAAAGCCUGACGCAGCAACGCCGCGUGAACGAUUAAGCCCUUCGGGGUGUAAAGUUCUGUCAGUAGGGACGAAUUUUGACGGUACCUACAGAGGAAGCACCGGCUAACUCCGUGCCAGCCGCGGC